UAAGACAAGCCACACCCAGAUGCUACUUUAAUCAGUGCCAUUUUCAAGGAAGAAGGAGACAUGAAAAAGUAAUAGAAUUAGAUAGAGAGAGAAACUAACAACUCUUUAACAUUACCAUUACCAUUAGAGAGAGAAACCAAACCAAUUUGUCUCCUUAAUGUAGGGGAAGAGAGGGGCAAAGCUUCGGCAUUUGGUCUCCCUUCUCUCUCUAUUUGUCGGCUCUUUCUCCGGCCACCAUUUGACUGCUAAACUCGCCGGAACUCACUUGCCCAAAAGCCCAAAUCCACCCAUUAGUUGACUUUUUUUUUUUUGGGCUUUUGGGUCACUUGCUUUACUUUCCCUUUCUCUUCCCUUUUGAGCUGAUCUAGCUAAGUUCAUCGGCUGAAGUAAAUCUUUUACGCUUUUUAAUCUAUACUCUUUUCAGUUCAAAAAGCUAUAUAUGCUAUGAGCAUGUGAAAAAUUACUGGAUCAAACCUCACUUGUAGUUUCGCCGGAAUAAGCAAUGAAAACGCCGGCGAUCAGUGCUGGAGUAUCCGUCGCCGCCACUUCUUGCGUCACCACUUCAAAUCCUGCUGAAGGAGGAGAGAACAAGAGCAUAAACCCAGAGCUAUGGCAAGCAUGUGCAGGGCCGUUGGUGAGCUUGCCGGCGGCUGGGACGCUUGUGGUCUAUUUCCCACAAGGCCACAGCGAACAGGUCGCAGCAUCAAUGAAGAAGGAUGUAGAUGCCCAUAUCCCUAAUUAUCCGAAUCUUCCUUCAAAGCUAUUAUGUCUCCUUCAUAAUGUGACCUUGCAUGCGGACCCGGAAACAGAUGAAGUUUAUGCUCAGAUGACCCUCCAACCUGUUCCUUCUUUUGACAAAGAUGCAUUACUGAGAUCAGAUCUUUCACUGAAGUCAAAUAAAGCACAAACAGAGUUUUUCUGUAAAACAUUAACAGCAAGUGACACAAGUACUCAUGGAGGCUUUUCUGUGCCCCGUCGUGCGGCUGAGAAGAUUUUCCCCCCUCUUGAUUUCUCCAUGCAACCGCCUGCCCAAGAACUUGUAGCUAGGGAUUUGCAUGACAAUGUCUGGACUUUCCGUCAUAUCUAUCGUGGACAACCAAAGCGUCACUUGCUUACAACAGGUUGGAGCCUGUUUGUUAGUGGAAAGAGGCUAUUUGCAGGUGAUUCAGUUCUAUUUAUCAGAGAUGAAAAGCAGCAACUUCUCUUGGGGAUCAGGCGAGCAAAUAAACAACCUGCUAAUUUAUCAUCAUCAGUGUUGUCAAGUGAUAGCAUGCACAUUGGGAUCCUAGCUGCCGCAGCCCAUGCAGCAGCAAAUAAUAGUCCCUUCACAGUGUUUUAUAAUCCAAGGGCUAGUCCAUCAGAAUUUGUUAUUCCUUUGGCCAAAUAUUACAAGGCAGGGUACAGUAACCAAAUAUCACUUGGCAUGCGCUUUCGGAUGAUGUUUGAAACUGAAGAAUCAGGAACAAGAAGGUAUAUGGGUACAAUUACAGGAAUUAGUGAUAUUGAUCCUGUACGGUGGAAGAAUUCACAAUGGCGUAAUUUACAGGUUGGAUGGGAUGAGUCAACUGCUGGGGAAAGACGCAAUAGAGUCUCAAUCUGGGAGAUUGAACCAGUGACUGCUCCAUUUUUCAUAUGCCCACCACCAUUCUUUAGAUCUAAGCGUCCAAGGCAACCUGGAAUGCCAGAUGAUGAUUCCCCUGAUUUAGAUAACUUAUUUAAGAAGUCAAUGCCUUGGCUUGGCGACGAUUUUUACAUGAAAGAUCCCCAGUCUGUACCUGGCCUGAGCUUACUGCAGUGUAUUAACAUGCAGCAAAACCCUUCCCUUGCUAAUGCAAUGCCGCCCAACUACAUGCAAUCUUUGUCAGGAUCUGUUCUGCAGAACCUUACCGGGCCUGAUCUUUCACAUCAGUUGGGCUUGUCAGCACCACAGUUACCUCAGCCAAACAACUUACAGUUUAAUUCCCAACGGCUGCCCCUGCAAUCACAACAAUUUGACCAGCUUCCAAAGAUGCAAUCUUCACUGAAUUCACUAGGUUCCAUCAUACAGUCGCAGCAACAAUUAGGUGAUAUCACUCAACAAUCAAAGCAAAAUUUGGUAACUCAAACUAUAACAUCAAGUCAAGUUCAAGCCCAAAUUCUGCAGCCUCAAACUCUAGUUCAAAAUACUAACAUUCUUCAGCAACAGCCAUCUCUUCAAAGCCAUCAACUUCCGAGAAACCUUCCUCAGACUUUGCAGCAGCAGCAGAAUCAACAGCAGCAUAUUGUAGGUCAGAACCAACAGCAAAGUGUAAUACAAACCCAGUUGCCUGAUCAAGUAAACCAACAUUUACAAAUGUCUGACAAUCAGAUUCAGAUUCAACUGUUGCAGAAGCUUCAACAGCAACAACAAUCACUUCUAACACAACAGUCUGUGUUGCAACAACCUAGUCAAUUUGCACAGCUGCAAGAUCCACAAAGGCAGCUGUUAGAGGCAUCCCAGAGCUUUUCAAGGUCCAUGCGACCCAACCAAUUGUUAGAAAUGCCUCAAACAACACCCAAUUCACUUCCGCAAUCAAAUAUUAUUCAACAGCAGAUGACAAAGAAUGGCAACCAGACUAAUGCUCAGUUCUCCCAUAUGCCACAGCAACUGAAAUUGCAACAACAGCAGCCUGGGAUAUUGUCUGAAAUGCCUGGACAUAUGGGACUUCCCCCUAGCUCAGGUGUCAAUCAUUUCUCUACAGUUGGUAGUAGCAUAUUGACUGCUGCUGCAGGGGCAGGGAUUUCUGGGAUUACCGAGGAGCUUCCAUCUUGUUCAACUUCACCUUCCACAAACAACUGUGCAAAUAUGGUUCAUCGGGUACACCAAAGCACAGCUAUAGGAGAUGACAUGGCUCAGUCUGCUGCUACACUCUUGAGUUCCAAUGCCUUAGAAACAAUGUCAUGUAGUACUAACUUGGUUAAAGAUGUGCAACAGAAAUCUGAUGUUAAGCCUUCAAUGAACAUUGCCAAGAAUCAAAACCAAGGAUUCUUUGCCCCGCAAACAUACCAAAAUGGUGCAACUGCCCAGACAGAUUAUUUGGAUACUUCUUCUUCUACAACUUCAGUUUGUGUUUCUCAGAAUGAUGUUCAUUUGCAGCAGAAUAACAAUUCGUCUUCUUAUAAUCCACAUUCACUGUUGUUGAGGGACAUAAGUCAAGAUGGGGAACUCCAGGCAAAUCCCAGGAAUAAUGUUCCAUAUGGAGCUAACAUUGAUGGCCAACUGGGAGUUCUAAUGAAUUCUGACCAAGUGUUGACAAAAAGCAUCAUAGGUCUGGGGAAGGAUCUCCCAAAUAAUCUUUCUUCAGCGGGUAUGAUUUCUAACUGUGAAAAUUCAAAAGAUCCUCAACAUGAGCUUUCAUCUUCAAUGGUUUCCCGGUCAUUUGGAGUUCCAGAUAUGGCAUUCAAUUCAAUUGAUUCCACAAUCAAUGAUAGUAGCUUCUUGAACAGAGGUCCUUGGGCCCCUCCCCCACAAUUUCAGCGGAUGCGUACAUAUACAAAGGUGUACAAACGCGGAGCUGUGGGGAGGUCUAUUGAUAUAACCCGCUAUUCUGGUUAUGAUGAGCUUAAGCAAGAUCUGGCCCGGAGGUUUGGUAUAGAGGGACAGUUAGAAGACCGACACAGGAUAGGCUGGAAACUUGUUUAUGUGGAUCAUGAGAAUGAUGUUUUGUUAGUAGGGGAUGACCCAUGGGAAGAGUUUGUGAACUGUGUUCGCUGCAUUAAGAUCUUGUCCCCGCAAGAAGUACAGCAAAUGAGCUUGGAUGGAGAUUUUGGGAACUCUGUCCAUCCAAAUCAAGCAUGUAGCAGCUCUGAUAAUGGCAAUGCAUAAAGUAGUCGACCAAAAUGCUAACAAAUUCUUCCACGUUGGGAACCUUAUAUUAUUUGUGGAUUCUGUUCAUAGCUUUCUGUAUGUUGUUUAUUCUGCUUUAUCUGGGUUUUCAAGGUUUUCCUAGCUUGCAAAAGUGGCAGGCAAACCAAGAAUUUUCCAGCAACCUGGUAAAAAUUGAAGUUGUUCUAUGGCACUCAGAGCUCUAUUUCAAUUUGUUCCAGCUCUAAAUUGUAUAACACAGAUCAAAAGCAGAAAGAUCACCAAUCAAUGAUGCAUAACUGGUUCAAGGCUCUUUUAGAGUUUCCCUCGGGCUUGAUGAGGAAUCCAGCUUGGUUUGUGCCUUUAAACUAGUUAAGAUAUUUGAUGCUGUUGUGAUGUUUAUUAAUCAACUUCUUUCAUGUUUUUACUAGCUGAGAAAUCUCCUUUUGGAGGCAUUGUAGAAAGCAAAAACAAGAAAUUAUAUGGCCUAGUUUUGCGUAUAUAAAAUGUGUAGAUUUCUUCAGUUUUGCAGUGGAAAUGGCUCAAACUUGAAUAGGUAUGAGGUGACAUGGAGAACUU
Molecule: unclassified non-coding RNA, 4402 nt
Filed under: Hevea brasiliensis (rubber tree)
Lineage: Eukaryota; Viridiplantae; Streptophyta; Magnoliopsida; Malpighiales; Euphorbiaceae
Source: RNAcentral